GCAUUUCAGUUACCUUUUAUUUCUUUCUGCCUCUUUCAGUUUGCAGCACUACUCUAUGGGUCGGCCAAGUGGACAAGAAAGCCACCCAACAAGAUCUUACUAAUCUCUUCGAAGAGUUUGGCCAGAUUGAAUCGAUCAAUAUGAUUCCUCCCAGAGGCUGUGCUUACAUCUGUAUGGUUCAUCGUCAGGAUGCAUACCGCGCCCUUCAGAAACUGAGCACAGGCUCCUACAAAAUCGGUUCAAAGGUCAUCAAAAUUGCUUGGGCCCUCAAUAAAGGGGUGAAACAGGAG
Molecule: long non-coding RNA, 290 nt
Organism: Sinocyclocheilus anshuiensis
Lineage: Eukaryota; Metazoa; Chordata; Actinopteri; Cypriniformes; Cyprinidae
Exons: 3
Source: RefSeq, a predicted model, not a curated record